The sequence is a ribosomal RNA, 1367 nucleotides long. It matches the Rfam family "Bacterial large subunit ribosomal RNA", at positions 1582 to 2925 of the family's 2925-position model.
GGGGGAAGCAGGGUGAUCCUAUGCUGCCAAGAAAAGCCUCGACGCGAGGGACUAGCCGCCCGUACCCGAAACCGACUCAGGUGGUCAGGUAGAGAAUACUAAGGCGAUCGAGAGAAUCGUGGUUAAGGAACUCGGCAAAAUGCCCCCGUAACUUCGGGAGAAGGGGGGCCUGAGAGGUGAAGCCACGUGCUGGCUAGCCUUUUCGGGCCGCAGAGACCAGGGAGAAGCGACUGUUUACUAAAAACACAGGUCCGUGCGAAGUCGCAAGACGAUGUAUACGGACUGACGCCUGCCCGGUGCUGGAAGGUUAAGAGGACGGGUCAACCACGCAAGUGGUGAAGCUCAGAAUUUAAGCCCCAGUAAACGGCGGUGGUAACUAUAACCAUCCUAAGGUAGCGAAAUUCCUUGUCGGGUAAGUUCCGACCUGCACGAAUGGCGUAACGACUUCUCCGCUGUCUCAACCGCGAACUCGGCGAAAUUGCAUUACGAGUAAAGAUGCUCGUUACGCGCAGCAGGACGGAAAGACCCCGGGACCUUUACUAUAGCUUGGUAUUGGUGUUCGGUACGGCUUGUGUAGGAUAGGUGGGAGACCGUGAAGCAUUCACGCCAGUGAGUGUGGAGUCAACGUUGAAAUACCACUCUGGUCGUACUGCACAUCUAACCUCGGUCCGUGAUCCGGACCAGGGACAGUGCCUGGUGGGUAGUUUAACUGGGGCGGUUGCCUCCUAAAAUGUAACGGAGGCGCUCAAAGGUUCCCUCAGCCUGGUUGGCAAUCAGGUGUCGAGUGCAAGUGCACAAGGGAGCUUGACUGUGAGACUGACAGGUCGAGCAGGGACGAAAGUCGGAACUAGUGAUCCGGCGGUGGCUUGUGGAAGCGCCGUCGCUCAACGGAUAAAAGGUACCCCGGGGAUAACAGGCUGAUCUUGCCCAAGAGUCCAUAUCGACGGCAUGGUUUGGCACCUCGAUGUCGGCUCGUCGCAUCCUGGGGCUGGAGUAGGUCCCAAGGGUUGGGCUGUUCGCCCAUUAAAGCGGUACGCGAGCUGGGUUUAGAACGUCGUGAGACAGUUCGGUCCCUAUCCGCUGCGCGCGCAGGAAACUUGAGAAGGGCUGUCCCUAGUACGAGAGGACCGGGACGGACGAACCUCUGGUGUGCCAGUUGUUCCGCCAGGAGCAUGGCUGGUUGGCUACGUUCGGAAGGGAUAACCGCUGAAAGCAUCUAAGCGGGAAGCCUGCUUCAAGAUGAGGUUUCCACCACCCUCGAGGUGGGAAGGCCCCCAGCAGACCACUGGGUUGAUAGGCCGGACGUGGAAGCGCGGUAACGCGUGGAGCUGACCGGUACUAAUUGGCCAACAACUUGCCACACACAA